This 450-nucleotide ribosomal RNA is filed under the name uncultured bacterium. RNAcentral describes it as "bacterial SSU rRNA". It matches the Rfam family "Bacterial small subunit ribosomal RNA", at positions 329 to 793 of the family's 1533-position model. The record is from RNAcentral.
GGCCAGACUCCUACGGGAGGCAGCAGUGGGGGAUAUUGGACAAUGGGGGAAACCCUGAUCCAGCGACGCCGCGUGAGUGAAGAAGUAUUUCGGUAUGUAAAGCUCUAUCAGCAGGGAAGAAAGAAAUGACGGUACCUGAGUAAGAAGCCCCGGCUAACUACGUGCCAGCAGCCGCGGUAAUACGUAGGGGGCAAGCGUUAUCCGGAAUUACUGGGUGUAAAGGGAGCGUAGACGGCGACGCAAGUCUGGAGUGAAAGCCCGGGGCCCAACCCCGGGACUGCUCUGGAAACUGCGGCGCUGGAGUACGGGAGGGGCAGGCGGAAUUCCCGGUGUAGCGGUGAAAUGCGUAGAUAUCAGGAGGAACACCGGUGGCGAAGGCGGUUUACUGGACCACAACUGACGCUGAGACACGAAAGCGUGGGGAGCAAACAGGAUUAGAUACCCGGGUAC